This 2271-nucleotide ribosomal RNA is filed under the name human gut metagenome. Its description in RNAcentral is "bacterial LSU rRNA". It matches the Rfam family "Bacterial large subunit ribosomal RNA", at positions 14 to 2297 of the family's 2925-position model. The record is from RNAcentral.
AGGGCGUACGGCGGAUGCCUUGGCCAUAUCAGCCGAAGAAGGACGCGAUAAGCUGCGAUAAGCUGCGGUGAGGUGCAAGUAACCUUUGACCCGCAGGUCUCCGAAUGGGGAAACCCGGCAGCAGUAGUGCUGUCAUCCUCUAUGAGGAAGGGCACCCGGUGAACUGAAACAUCUAAGUAGCCGGAGGAAAAGGAAUCAACAGAGAUACCCCUAGUAGCGGCGAGCGAACGGGGCAGAGCCCAAACCGGAAUGGGAAACCAAUCCGGGGUUGUGGACUGCUAUCAAAUGCAUGAGUGAAGCAGAAUGAGCUGGGAAGCUCAGCCAGAGAGAGUGAGAGCCUCGUAGGCGUAAGCAAAUGCAUGGAGCAGGAUCCAGAGUACCACGGGACACGAGAAACCCUGUGGGAAGCUGGGGGGACCACCCUCCAAGGCGAAACACUGAUAUGGACCGAUAGCGCAUAGUACCGUGAGGGAAAGGUGAAAAGAACCCCGGGAGGGGAAUGAAAGAGAACCUGAAACCGUAUGUCUACAAGCAGUCGAAGACCUUUAUAUGGUCGACGGCGUGCCUAUUGAAGAAUGAACCGGCGAGUUACUUCAGCUAGCGAGGUUAAGCGGAAAACGUGGAGCCGAAGCGAAAGCGAGUCUGAACAGGGCGUAUAGUUAGUUGGAGUAGACCCGAAACCACAGUGAUCUACCCAUGUCCAGGUUGAAGCACAGGUAAAAAUGUGUGGAGGACCGAACCAGUGAGCGUUGAAAAGCUUUUGGAUGAGAUGUGGGUAGGGGUGAAAUGCCAAUCGAACGUGGAGAUAGCUGGUUCUCCCCGAAAUAGCUUUAGGGCUAGCCUCAUGGCGAGAGUACAGGCGGUAGAGCACUGAACGGGGUAGGGGCCUAUCCGGCUACUGAACCUAAUCAAACUGCGAAUGGCUGUACUUAUCCAUGGGAGUCAGACUGUGAGUAAUAAGGCCCAUAGUCAAGAGGGAAACAGCCCAGACCAACAGCUAAGGUCCCCAAUGCCGUACUAAGUGGCGAAGGAUGUGGAAUUUCGAAAACAACCAGGAUGUUGGCUCAGAAGCAGCCACCAUUAAAAGAGUGCGUAAUAGCUCACUGGUCGAGAGACUCUGCGCCGAAGAUGUCCGGGGCUAAAGUACGGAACCGAAGCUUUGGCAAUUGACUUUGUCAAUUGGGUAGGGGAGCGUUCCUGCAUGGGAGAAGCCUGACCGGAAGGACAGGUGGACAGGCAGGAAGAGAGAAUGCCGGUAUGAGUAGCGAAAAGAAGGGUGAGAAUCCCUUCCACCGAAAGCCUAAGGGUUCCUGGGCAACGAUCGUCGUCCCAGGGUAAGUCGGGACCUAAUCCGAGGCGGAGACGCGUAGGAGAUGGACAACAGGUUGAAAUUCCUGUACUGGCUGAGGCCGUUUGAGCGAAGGAGUGACACAGGAAGGAAGGCGCGCGUGCGAUUGGAAGAGCACGUCCAAGCAGGUAGGUUGGGAGACAGGCAAAUCCGUUUCCCAUGAGGCCGAGAUGCGAUGGGGAGCUUCUGGAGACAGAAGCGAAGGGGCUGGCACUAAACUGUCGAGAAAAGCUUCUAGUGAGGACUCAGGCACCCGUACCGAAACCGACACAGGUAGGCAGGAUGAGAAUUCUAAGGUGCGCGGGAAAACCCUCGUUAAGGAACUCGGCAAAAUAUAUCCGUAACUUCGGGAAAAGGAUAACCCAGCGUACGUGAAGUGCAGAAACGCAUGGAGCGGAGAUGGGUGGCAGAAGAGAGGCCCAAGCGACUGUUUACCACAAACACAGGCGUCUGCUAAAGCGAAAGCUGAUGUAUAGAUGCUGACACCUGCCCGGUGCUGGAAGGUUAAGAGGAAGUGUUAGCGCAAGCGAAGCAGUGAAUUGAAGCCCCAGUAAACGGCGGCCGUAACUAUAACGGUCCUAAGGUAGCGAAAUUCCUUGUCGGGUAAGUUCCGACCCGCACGAAAGGUGUAACGAUUUGGGCACUGUCUCAACGAGGGACCCGGUGAAAUUGAAGUACCUGUGAAGAUGCAGGUUACCCGCGACUGGACAGAAAGACCCCAUGGAGCUUUACUGUAACCUGAGAUUGGAUUCCGGUAAGAGAUGUACAGGAUAGUUGGGAGGCUUAGAUACAAGUACGCCAGUAUUUGUGGAGCCAUUGGUGGGAUACCAACCUUGUUUUAUUGGAAUUCUAACGAGAAGCGUAACGAGCUUGCGGACAGUCUCAGGCGGGCAGUUUGACUGGGGCGGUCGCCUCCGAAAGAG